This 326-nucleotide unclassified non-coding RNA is filed under the name rhizosphere metagenome. RNAcentral's name for it is "partial ribosomal RNA internal transcribed spacer region". The record is from RNAcentral.
UUAGGUGAACCUGCGGAAGGAUCAUUAACACGUAUCCAACGUUAAACAACCCUGUGAACCUUGAACGUGCUCUCGUACACGCUCUAGCAGCAAUGGGUCAGAAAACUGGUGUAGGUGCCGAAGCACAGAGGCCCGGUCGCCGGCCGUGUGGGCCUACAGCGAUCGUUUACUGCGCCAUCCUUGCGCAACCACUGACAGAUUGCUAGGAUGCCGCCGCACUUACUCUGGCGCUCGUAUCGUAUGGUUUUCUAGCAGAAGUCCCAGACUCAAUAGCUGGUCAACAAUGAUUUACCAGGGAACUGUUAACAAUGGAUAUCUUGGUUCUU